CAGCCGCCGCGGGAAUACGGAGGGUGCAAGCGUUAAUCGGAAUUACUGGGCGUAAAACGCACGCAGGCGGUCUGACAAGUCAGAUGUGAAAUCCCCGGGCUUAACCUGGGAACUGCAUUUGAAACUGUCAGGCUGGAGUCUUGUAGAGGGGGGUAGAAUUCCAGGUGUAGCUGUGAAAUGCGUAGAGAUCUGGAGGAAUACCGGUGGCGAAGGCGGCCCCCUGGACAAAGACUGACGCUCAGGUGCGAAAGCGUGGGGAGCAAACAGGAUUAGAUACCCCAGUAGUCCCUGUCUCUUAUAC
RNAcentral lists this ribosomal RNA (301 nucleotides) under uncultured bacterium. RNAcentral describes it as "partial 16S ribosomal RNA". It matches the Rfam family "Bacterial small subunit ribosomal RNA", at positions 509 to 807 of the family's 1533-position model. The record is from RNAcentral.